GACGGAGGAUGCAAGUGUUAUCCGGAAUCACUGGGCGUGAAGCGUCUGUAGGUGGUCCAAUAAGUCAACUGUUAAAUCUUGGGGCUCAACCUCAAAAUCGCAGUCGAAACUAUUAGACUAGAGUAUAGUAGGGGUAAAGGGAAUUUCCAGUGGAGCGGUGAAAUGCGUAGAUAUUGGAAAGAACACCGAUGGCGAAGGCACUUUACUGGGCUAUUACUAACACUCAGAGACGAAAGCUAGGGUAGCAAAUGGG
RNAcentral lists this ribosomal RNA (253 nucleotides) under uncultured bacterium. RNAcentral describes it as "partial 16S ribosomal RNA". It matches the Rfam family "Bacterial small subunit ribosomal RNA", at positions 524 to 776 of the family's 1533-position model. The record is from RNAcentral.